GUCUGUUCAUUUCAGACUUUGUCUUUUGGUAUCAAGUUGGUUAAUAUAUGAUUUUGAAAAUGUAAAUAUGCAUACCUGCAACAAAGUGCAUCAGAGUUGAAAGAAGAAAGAAGCAGGUUGUGUUUGCCUAAAAGCUGCAAAACCAGCUUUUAGUCUACACUCUGCAUGUGUGGCUUAGGGGUCAGCCAGAGCUGAGAGCAGACAGAAGUUGGAAAUCCUCCCUCGGACUCUUUCCCUUCCUGCAUUCCCUUUCUCUUCCCAGCAGCCAUGGUGGCCCUGGAUUCAGCUUUCCCUUCCACAGGCCAGAGAGAUUGUGAUUUUUUUUCCACCAAUGCCCUGCCACCCUGCAGGCUGCUCUCACUACACUUGGGUGUAAGUGAAAAGCUGUCCCUAUAACUUCCCUCCUCUGAGCACGGACCACCCCACUCCUGGGUCUGCCUGCUCUUCUCACUCUCAUAUGUCUUCAAGAAGCUGCUUGUAUUACGUCCAAAGCUUACAAUUGGUAUGUCCAGGAGGCUCAGUCUGGUAGGAUCUUACUCUGUCCUUACCAGCAGCAGAAGUAAUCUGUCUUUGCGGAUCAAAGAUGGAUUUGAGCUCUGGAUCUGAACCAACGAACACACAAUGACCUAUGAAUUUUUUGGACAGGAACAUUGAAGAUGGCAUGAGCUAUCCAGUGGAGACACACAUCCAUAUGCAUGUGCAUUUUUAUAUAUUUUUAUGAAAUGCAUGACAUGUCUUAAAAAGCCAUUUAUGUAGUGUGUAGGUGUGAGUCUAUGAAAGAAUUGGAAAUGAAUGUAUGCCUCCUUUCACUUUGUUGUUUAGUAUUCCUUAGGAAGAAGCAAUAUUGAAUAAAAUUUUAACUAAUUAUCCAA
Long non-coding RNA from Homo sapiens (human), 872 nucleotides. The record is from Ensembl. Lineage: Eukaryota; Metazoa; Chordata; Mammalia; Primates; Hominidae.